GUUCAGAUGUGAAAGACCCGGGGCGUCAACCUCGGAACUGCAUUUGUAAACUAGGCAGACUAGAGUACUGUAGAGGGGGGUAGGAAUUUCAGGUGUAGCGGUGAAAUAGCGUAGAGAUCUGAAGGAAUACCGGUGGCGAAGGCGGCCCCCUCGGACAGAUACUGACACUCAGAUGCGAAAGCGUGGGGAGCAAACAGGAUUAGAUACCCUGGUAG
This 215-nucleotide ribosomal RNA is filed under the name uncultured bacterium. RNAcentral's name for it is "partial 16S ribosomal RNA". It matches the Rfam family "Bacterial small subunit ribosomal RNA", at positions 586 to 793 of the family's 1533-position model. The record is from RNAcentral.